GAUGAAGAACGUAGCGAAAUGCGAUAAGUAGUGUGAAUUGCAGAAUUCAGUGAAUCAUCGAAUCUUUGAACGCACAUUGCGCCCCUUGGUAUUCCAUGGGGCAUGCCUGUUCGAGCGUCAUUUGUACCUUCAAGCUUUGCUUGGCGUUGGGUGUUUGUCCAUUCUCUUGCAGAGGGACUCGCCUUAAAGUAAUUGGCAGCCAGUGUUUUGGUUUUGAAGCGCAGCACAAGUCGCGAUUCAAAGCUAUACGCCCGCUUCCACAAGCCUUUUUCACUUUUGACCUCGGAUCAGGUAGGGAUACCCGCUGAACUUAAGCAUAUCAAUAAGCGGAGGA
Molecule: unclassified non-coding RNA, 334 nt
Filed under: soil metagenome
Description: partial contains 5.8S ribosomal RNA, internal transcribed spacer 2, and large subunit ribosomal RNA
Rfam family: 5.8S ribosomal RNA (bases 1-120)
Source: RNAcentral